CGUGGCUAAUCUGCCCUUGGGACCGGAACACCCCCGGGAAACUGGGGCUAAUUCUCGAUAGGUGAAGAACUCUGGAAUGAGUCUUUGCCAAAAAGUUGUUAAGGUUAUGCUCUUUGACAACGCCCAAGGAUGAGGCCGCGACCGAUCAGGUUGUUGGUGAGGUAAUGGCUCACCAAGCCUUUUACCGGUGCGGGCCGUGAGAGCGGGAGCCCGGAGAUGGGCACUGAGACAAGGGCCCAGGCCCUACGGGGCGCAGCAGUCGCGAAAACUUUGCAAUAAGCGAAAGCUUGACAGGGCUAUCCCGAGUGCCAUCCGCUGAGGAAGGCUUUUACCCAGUCUAGAACGCUGGGGGAAUAAGGAGAGGGCAAGUCUGGUGUCAGCCGCCGCGGUAAUACCAGCUCUCCGAGUGGUGUGGAUGUUUAUUGGGCCUAAAGCAUCCGUAGCUGGCUAAGUUAGUCCCUUGUUAAUCCACCGAAUUAAUCGUUGGAUUGCGGGGGAUACUGCUUGGCUAGGGGACGAGAGAGGCAGACGGUAUUUCCGGGGUAGGGGUGAAAUCCUAUAAUCCCGGGAAGACCACCAGUGGCGAAGGCUGUCUGCUAGAACGCGCCCGACGGUGAGGGAUGAAAGCUGGGGGAGCGAACCGGAUUAGAUACCCGGGUAGUCCCAGCUGU
This 671-nucleotide ribosomal RNA is filed under the name uncultured archaeon. RNAcentral's name for it is "bacterial SSU rRNA". It matches the Rfam family "Archaeal small subunit ribosomal RNA", at positions 99 to 754 of the family's 1478-position model. The record is from RNAcentral.